CCCUUAGACGUUCUGGGCCGCACGCGCGCUACACUGACCAGUGCAACAAGCAUCCGUCCUUGGCCGACAGGCUCGGGCAAUCUUUGAACGCUGGUCGUGAUGGGGAUAGACUUUUGCAAUUUUUGGUCUUCAACGAGGAAUUCCUAGUAAACGCAAGUCAUCAACUUGCAUUGAUUACGUCCCUGCCCUUUGUACACACCGCCCGUCGCACCGACCGAUUGAAUGGUCCGGUGAAGCCUCCGGAUUGGCGCGCACCCCGGUGCCGCCGAGAAGUUGGCUAAACCUUACCAUUUAGAGGAAGGUGAAGUCGUAACA
This 315-nucleotide ribosomal RNA is filed under the name uncultured eukaryote. RNAcentral's name for it is "partial 18S ribosomal RNA". It matches the Rfam family "Eukaryotic small subunit ribosomal RNA", at positions 1470 to 1796 of the family's 1831-position model. The record is from RNAcentral.